UAGGGANUCUUCCACAAUGGGCGCAAGCCUGAUGGAGCAACACCGCGUGAGUGAAGAAGGGUUUCGGCUCGUAAAGCUCUGUUGUUAAAGAAGAACACGUAUGAGGGUAACUGUUCAUACGUUGACGGUAUUUAACCAGAAAGUCACGGCUAACUACGUGCCAGCAGCCGCGGUAAUACGUAGGUCCCGAGCGUUGUCCGGAUUUAUUGGGCGUAAAGCGAGCGCAGGCGGUUAGAAAAGUCUGAAGUGAAAGGCAGUGGCUCAACCAUUGUAGGCUUUGGAAACUGUUUAACUUGAGUGCAGAAGGGGAGAGUGGAAUUCCAUGUGUAGCGGUGAAAUGCGUAGAUAUAUGGAGGAACACCGGUGGCGAAAGCGGCUCUCUGGUCUGUCACUGACGCUGAGGCUCGAAAGCGUGGGGAGCGAACAGGAUUAGAUACCCUGGUAGUCCACGCCGUAAACGAUGAGUGCUAGGUGUUGGGUCCUUUCCGGGGCUCAGUGCCGCAGCUAACGCAUUAAGCACUCCGCCUGGGGAGUACGACCGCAAGGUUG
This 549-nucleotide ribosomal RNA is filed under the name uncultured bacterium. Its description in RNAcentral is "bacterial SSU rRNA". It matches the Rfam family "Bacterial small subunit ribosomal RNA", at positions 355 to 896 of the family's 1533-position model. The record is from RNAcentral.